RNAcentral lists this ribosomal RNA (492 nucleotides) under uncultured bacterium. RNAcentral's name for it is "partial 16S ribosomal RNA". It matches the Rfam family "Bacterial small subunit ribosomal RNA", at positions 29 to 507 of the family's 1533-position model. The record is from RNAcentral.
AGUGAACGCUGGCGGUAGGCCUAACACAUGCAAGUCGAACGGCAGCACAGUAAGAGCUUGCUCUUACGGGUGGCGAGUGGCGGACGGGUGAGGAAUACAUCGGAAUCUACUUUUUCGUGGGGGAUAACGUAGGGAAACUUACGCUAAUACCGCAUACGACCUACGUGUGAAAGCAGGGGAUCUUCGGACCUUGCGCGAUUGAAUGAGCCGAUGUCGGAUUAGCUAGUUGGCGGGGUAAAGGCCCACCAAGGCGACGAUCCGUAUCUGGUCUGAGAGGAUGAUCAGCCACACUGGAACUGAGACACGGUCCAGACUCCUACGGGAGGCAGCAGUGGGGAAUAUUGGACAAUGGGCGCAAGCCUGAUCCAGCCAUACCGCGUGGGUGAAGAAGGCCUUCGGGUUGUAAAGCCCUUUUGUUGGGAAAGAAAAGCAGCAGGUUAAUACCCCGCUGUUCUGACGGUACCCAAAGAAUAAGCACCGGCUAACUUCGUG